Molecule: small nucleolar RNA, 111 nt
Filed under: Mus pahari (shrew mouse)
Lineage: Eukaryota; Metazoa; Chordata; Mammalia; Rodentia; Muridae
Description: snoRNA (MGP_PahariEiJ_G0034206.1)
Rfam family: Small nucleolar RNA SNORA17
About the family: snoRNA ACA 17 belongs to the H/ACA family of snoRNAs and is predicted to guide pseudouridylation of the 28S rRNA at positions U4659 and U4598. It shares the same host gene together with ACA43. NB This family has a high threshold value to exclude a large number of closely related sequences that do not appear to have conserved H and ACA boxes, and may be pseudogenes.
Source: RNAcentral
CCUGCCUGUGAGGCAAUUGAUGCGGAGUCACAUGUGCAUCAGUAGGUGGCAGAGAAGAGAGAGGUUAGUGUUCUGACCUAUCAACAUCUGAAUGACUAGUACCCUGAUAUU